Molecule: ribosomal RNA, 360 nt
Filed under: Ammonia sp. 98
Lineage: Eukaryota; Foraminifera; Rotaliida; Rotaliidae
Description: partial 28S ribosomal RNA
Source: RNAcentral
CGUAAUAAUAGAAACUAACCAGGAUUCCCUUAGUAACGGCGAGUGAACUGGGAUACCAACAAAAUACAUGUGCCUCGCGCACAUGAUUUAGCCCGUCGAUACUAUCCUAGCAUAUUACCGGUCUCGGCCGGUAACUCAAUAUGCGGGAAUUGUAGCAUCGUAAUAAAAAUAAAAUAUAUACACGCACACACCCACCGCGUACAUUCUUGUAAACACACAGCGUCUCCGCGUUGGAAAGCAAGUUUAUAUCCUCUUUGGAUAUGCCAUAGAGUGUGACAGCCACGUUUCACUCAUAACCGUACGCACACACACACGCCCCGUGCACUAAUAUAUAUUUCUAUAACCUGAGUCGAGUUAUUU